Molecule: ribosomal RNA, 253 nt
Filed under: uncultured bacterium
Lineage: Bacteria
Description: partial 16S ribosomal RNA
Rfam family: Bacterial small subunit ribosomal RNA
Source: RNAcentral
UACAGAGGUCUCAAGCGUUGUUCGGAUUCAUUGGGCGUAAAGGGUGCGUAGGUGGCGCGCUAAGUCAGGUGUGAAAUUUCGGAGCUUAACUCCGAAACUGCAUUGGAUACUAUCCGGCUCGAGGAAUGGAGGGGAGACUGGAAUACUUGGUGUAGCAGUGAAAUGCGUAGAUAUCAAGUGGAACACCAGUGGCGAAGGCGAGUCUCUGGACAUUUCCUGACGCUGAGGCACGAAAGCCAGGGGAGCAAACGGG